UUUUUACAGUGAUUGGAAUCUAUCUUGGUUACAUACAGCUAAGCAAAAAAAAAAGAUCAAGAAAAUGAAUCCAUAUAACAUUAAAAACGGUGAUGGUUGUAAGAGACUUUGACCCCUCUUCGAGCAUUUAAGUGGUCUCACCUUUGGAUUUUCUCAUGUGGGUCGUCUUUGUACUAUCAUUCAUCCUCCUACACGUGUUGAUAAAAGAAGAGAAGUGGGUAUGUCCCUUAGCACCAAACUUUUAGCUUUACUUUGAAUGCCUGCUUUUGUCAGGUAUACUUCCCCAUGUAUUCAUUUGUCUCUUACUUCAUA
Capsella rubella is the source of this 312-nucleotide long non-coding RNA. RefSeq lists it as uncharacterized. The transcript is spliced from 3 exons. NCBI's taxonomy places the organism in Eukaryota, Viridiplantae, Streptophyta, Magnoliopsida, Brassicales, Brassicaceae. The record is from RefSeq and is a predicted model, not a curated record.